RNAcentral lists this ribosomal RNA (253 nucleotides) under uncultured bacterium. RNAcentral's name for it is "partial 16S ribosomal RNA". It matches the Rfam family "Bacterial small subunit ribosomal RNA", at positions 524 to 776 of the family's 1533-position model. The record is from RNAcentral.
UACGUAGGGGGCUAGCGUUGUCCGGAUUUAUUGGGCCUAAAGCAUCCGUAGCCGGUCCUACAAGUCUUCCGUUAAAUCCACCUGCUUAACAGAUGGGCUGCGGAAGAUACUAUAGGGCUAGGAGGCGGGAGAGGCAAGCGGUACUCAGUGGGUAGGGGUAAAAUCCUCUGAUCCAUUGAAGACCACCAGUGGCGAAGGCGGCUUGCCUGAACGCGCUCGACGGUGAGGGAUGAAAGCUGGGGGAGCAAACCGG